Molecule: ribosomal RNA, 488 nt
Filed under: Salmonella enterica subsp. enterica serovar Orion
Lineage: Bacteria; Pseudomonadati; Pseudomonadota; Gammaproteobacteria; Enterobacterales; Enterobacteriaceae
Also listed under: 1 other name
Description: bacterial SSU rRNA
Rfam family: Bacterial small subunit ribosomal RNA
Source: RNAcentral
GAUUGAACGCUGGCGGCAGGCCUAACACAUGCAAGUCGAACGGUAACAGGAAGCAGCUUGCUGCUUCGCUGACGAGUGGCGGACGGGUGAGUAAUGUCUGGGAAACUGCCUGAUGGAGGGGGAUAACUACUGGAAACGGUGGCUAAUACCGCAUAACGUCGCAAGACCAAAGAGGGGGACCUUCGGGCCUCUUGCCAUCAGAUGUGCCCAGAUGGGAUUAGCUAGUUGGUGAGGUAACGGCUCACCAAGGCGACGAUCCCUAGCUGGUCUGAGAGGAUGACCAGCCACACUGGAACUGAGACACGGUCCAGACUCCUACGGGAGGCAGCAGUGGGGAAUAUUGCACAAUGGGCGCAAGCCUGAUGCAGCCAUGCCGCGUGUAUGAAGAAGGCCUUCGGGUUGUAAAGUACUUUCAGCGGGGAGGAAGGUGUUGUGGUUAAUAACCRCAGCAAUUGACGUUACCCGCAGAAGAAGCACCGGCUAACUCC